UACGUAGGGGGCAAGCGUUAUCCGGAUUUACUGGGUGUAAAGGGAGCGUAGACGGCGGAACAAGUCAGAAGUGAAAACCCGGGGCUCAACCCUGGGAGUGCUUUUGAAACUGUGUGACUGGAGUGCAGGAGAGGUAAGCGGAAUUCCUGGUGUAGCGGUGAAAUGCGUAGAUAUCAGGAGGAACACCAGUGGCGAAGGCGGCUUACUGGACUGUAACUGACGUUGAGGCUCGAAAGCGUGGGGAGCAAACAGG
This 253-nucleotide ribosomal RNA is filed under the name uncultured Lachnospiraceae bacterium. RNAcentral describes it as "partial 16S ribosomal RNA". It matches the Rfam family "Bacterial small subunit ribosomal RNA", at positions 524 to 776 of the family's 1533-position model. The record is from RNAcentral. Lineage: Bacteria; Bacillati; Bacillota; Clostridia; Lachnospirales; Lachnospiraceae.